Molecule: ribosomal RNA, 522 nt
Filed under: Penicillium sp.
Lineage: Eukaryota; Fungi; Ascomycota; Eurotiomycetes; Eurotiales; Aspergillaceae
Description: eukaryotic LSU rRNA
Rfam family: Eukaryotic large subunit ribosomal RNA
Source: RNAcentral
CUUCGGGGUCCGCAUUGUAAUUUGCAGAGGAUGCUUCGGGAGCGGUCCCCAUCUAAGUGCCCUGGAACGGGACGUCAUAGAGGGUGAGAAUCCCGUAUGGGAUGGGGUGUCCGCGCCCGUGUGAAGCUCCUUCGACGAGUCGAGUUGUUUGGGAAUGCAGCUCUAAAUGGGUGGUAAAUUUCAUCUAAAGCUAAAUAUUGGCCGGAGACCGAUAGCGCACAAGUAGAGUGAUCGAAAGAUGAAAAGCACUUUGAAAAGAGAGUUAAAAAGCACGUGAAAUUGUUGAAAGGGAAGCGCUUGCGACCAGACUCGCUCGCGGGGUUCAGCCGGCAUUCGUGCCGGUGUAUUUCCCCGCGGGCGGGCCAGCGUCGGUUUGGGCGGUCGGUCAAAGGCCCUCGGAAGGUAACGCCCCUAGGGGCGUCUUAUAGCCGAGGGUGCAAUGCGACCUGCCUAGACCGAGGAACGCGCUUCGGCUCGGACGCUGGCAUAAUGGUCGUAAGCGACCCGUCUUGAAACACGGAC